NNCGGUAGAACGGCGGACUGUUAAUCCGUAUGUCACUGGUUCGAGUCCAGUCAGAGGAGCCA
Molecule: transfer RNA, 62 nt
Filed under: Salmonella enterica subsp. enterica serovar Enteritidis str. EC20121177
Lineage: Bacteria; Pseudomonadati; Pseudomonadota; Gammaproteobacteria; Enterobacterales; Enterobacteriaceae
Description: tRNA-Und (NNN) (tRNA-Und-NNN-2-1)
Rfam family: tRNA
About the family: Transfer RNA (tRNA) molecules are approximately 80 nucleotides in length. Their secondary structure includes four short double-helical elements and three loops (D, anti-codon, and T loops). Further hydrogen bonds mediate the characteristic L-shaped molecular structure. tRNAs have two regions of fundamental functional importance: the anti-codon, which is responsible for specific mRNA codon recognition, and the 3' end, to which the tRNAs corresponding amino acid is attached (by aminoacyl-tRNA synthetases). tRNAs cope with the degeneracy of the genetic code in two manners: having more than one tRNA (with a specific anti-codon) for a particular amino acid; and 'wobble' base-pairing, i.e. permitting non-standard base-pairing at the 3rd anti-codon position.
Source: RNAcentral